UCGAAAUUUCGAAGAAAAUGUCAACCAUCAAAAAUUUCAGUUCAGAAUGAAAAUACCAUUUUACUCAAUUAUCGGACCACAUCUGAAACGCAACUACUAUUUCAUCCGACACUUCUGCAGUCACCCCUUUUUGUGCAUAUCGGAUUUUUACACCUUAAUUUUAGGAAUUCUAGGCGUGUUUUCAUCUUUCAGGUUUUCAGCGUUUUUGAUAUCGCCAUGAUUGUGCGUUGCGGACCGACUUUGCCAGGGUACCUAGUUAAGGCGCGAGGUGAUUUUGGAAAAGUUAUACAGCCGACGAUGGAAAGAGACCUCAAACUUAUUGCUUUACUAGUAUCAUUUGAAUACUAUCUUUUCUUGGUUAUUGGAGUUUUAUCCAAAAAUCCAGUAUUUUUUCUGCCAUUUUUAGUUCUUUACGCUUUUAUUAUAAUAAUGGAAAUUACAACGUUAUUUCUGCGGCUUUUUACUGAUGGCUUCAACUUUAACAAGAGCAGCUUAUUUACUUCAAUGUUUGUGGUCUACAAUUGGUUAUGCGUAUUUUGCUGUUUCUGGCACAAAAUGGAGUACUGUGACUAUUAAUUAUUAAGCACAAUACAAUUUACUAACCCAAUUAGAUUUGAACUACUGUUUUUAUGGUUUUACGUGGUUUAUAAUAUUAGACAAUUAGCGAAAUUACGUUCCAUACAACGUAUUUUAUGUUAACGUGCAAACCCCCUAUGUUUCUAUAGAUAUAACAGUUUUUUCUAGGUUUUGCGUGUUGUACGUUCUAUGGAACGUGGUUUCGCUAAUUGUCUAAUAAGUAGUUAGUUUUCGUCACUGCCAUUGGUUGGUAAAAUGUUAUAUUUUCUUCUUCCUUAGAGUUCUGAUAUUGGUUCUAGUACUACCUAUAGAUACCUAAAAAAGUUAGAUAAACGUUUUGUAUAUUCUGAAUAGCUAUGAUCUCUAGACCACAUGGACACAUAAUAGUGUACUUAUUUAAUGACCACAUAGUGUUGUUACGUUGAACGGUGAAUAAUCGGCGUAGGUUAAAACUCAACAAUGUAUUCCUUACUAACUCGAAUAUACACGACAACGAUUA
RNA transcript from Zophobas morio, 1075 nucleotides. RefSeq lists it as uncharacterized. Lineage: Eukaryota; Metazoa; Arthropoda; Insecta; Coleoptera; Tenebrionidae. The record is from RefSeq and is a predicted model, not a curated record. The transcript is spliced from 3 exons.